UCCGGCACUCCCCAGUGAGAUGAACCCAGCACUCCCCAGUGAGAUGAACCCAGUACCUCAGUUUAAAAUGCAGAAAUCACCGGUCUUCUCUGUCGCUCACGCUGGGAGUUGGAGACUGGAGCUGCUCCUAUUAGGCCAUCUUACCCUCUUUGGUGUUUCAACCUCUGUAUUAGGCAGGCAGGUCUAUGUGCCUAAAUCUCAGGAGUAAGACUUUUUUAAUGUUACUGCCCCUUCCCUGGUGGCAGGAAACCUCCAAUUUCUCCUGAUUUCAGGGCUUCACGCACAGGUUGGGCUCUUUACAUUUUCCUUGAUUGCAGCUAAACUCUCCCAUGUAUUGUUGGAAGGAUGAGUGGGAGGGACAAGACUCUUGGCCUUCCUUGAUGGUAGCAGACUUCUCCUUUGUCUCAGUGAAUGAUCCUGGGCAUGAGUACGUUUUCUUCCUCUCUACAGCAGCUGAGAAUUUGUGCCUAGUGUCUAUGUAGGGUGUCGGGGGCAAAUUUUUUAUGCCUUCCCUAGUAGUGGCCAAAUUUGCCUAGACAGAGGACACAAGGAUUUCCUACCCUGCUCAUUAGUGAAUGGCUUUUUCCUUGUUUUAAAGUAGACCUACACAGCAGGGGUAGGUCUUUCUUCACUCCUAGUACCCAUUGGUUUUUGCUUCUUAGCCGUGUAUCUGUGAAGGUCAGGACUAGAUCAUGUUUUGUUUCUGCCGCUAGCAGCAAUUCAGCACUACCUUGUACUCAUAGAAGUCCCAGCAUGCAAUGGGUUUCUCAAAGCAUUGCUUAUACCCACAAAUCUUGUAAGAAUCUACACAGUUAUCCUACCAAGAGAGACUCCCUCAGGUCUCCCAUGUCCUCAGUCUUUCACAUGAACAUGUGGCGGAGGUCUGUGUAGAAGCAAUGGUGAGUGACUAUAGACUCUUCUUGGGGGUGAAGUUCCAAGAUUGUAGCCUGUCAUACUAACGUAUAGGAGGCAUACUCAUUUCCUAUUGCUGCUGCAACAAAUUUCCAUAACACACUGC
This 1018-nucleotide long non-coding RNA is filed under the name Papio anubis (olive baboon). RNAcentral describes it as "lncRNA (ENSPANG00000043306.1)". The record is from RNAcentral. Lineage: Eukaryota; Metazoa; Chordata; Mammalia; Primates; Cercopithecidae.